AAGAACUCGUUUAGUGUCAGGUUACGUAGUCAAACUCAAAUAAAAAAAUGUCAUAUGUUUUUCAUUAAAAGAGCAAAAAUAUAAUAUCAUCAUUAGUGUAAAAAAAAAUUAAAAUGGCUAUGAUAAAUUAUAUAUAUUGUGGGCUAAUUUGUGUCGGCAUUACAUUUGCUAUAUUGUCAACAAUAGGAAACUAUUGGUUUAAAGCUUCGGAUUCUUCAGAGCAUGGCGGGAUAUGGUAUUUUUGCAAAUUAAAUGGUUGCGAGAAGAGACUUAAUAAAGCAGAUUCCUUAAUUGCUACUGAAACAUUUAUGAUCAUGGGUUGCUUGAGCUAUUUUCUCGCUUUUGUAUUAAGUUUGCUAAGUUGUUCGAAGAUAUUAAAAACUCACAAAAUCUCUGCAGCUGUACUCUGUGUAACAGUAAAGUUAAACACCAGUGCUCAAUGAAAAGCAUGGAUAUACACAAAUUAAUGCCACUGGUGCACAAAUAUGUGAAACUGUUGUUUUUUCUGUCUUCAACAAUGCAAAAGAGUCUCAAUCUUUAGUGAUUCAGGAGGGUGUUGAUCAAUGCAUCAUUGUUAGUAACGAAUUGCCAUAAAACAAUAAAAAUUUAGCACAAUAUCUCUUGGUACAGAAGGUUCAAAGUUUUACCAAGUCGAUCCAAAAAUUUAAAAACAGAAAAAAGUUACCCUAAACAGUUUUAUGUAAACACAACGCUUUUGUAAAACGCUUUAGUGGUCAGACACAAUUGUAAAACGCUUUAGUAAAAAGACUAUUGAUACAGCUCUAAACGAAUCAGUGAGAUAGGACUUGAUUUAAAACAGAAAUAUUUGAACAGUUAAACAGCGCGCAGUUUUAUUAUGCAUUGUUUUCUCACUUAUUAAAAAGUUGACUUUUUAAUAAGUUAAUUUUGUUUUGAUUUGUAAGCACCUAAAAAAAG
Molecule: long non-coding RNA, 936 nt
Organism: Hydra vulgaris (swiftwater hydra)
Lineage: Eukaryota; Metazoa; Cnidaria; Hydrozoa; Anthoathecata; Hydridae
Source: RefSeq, a predicted model, not a curated record